This 735-nucleotide ribosomal RNA is filed under the name uncultured bacterium. RNAcentral's name for it is "bacterial SSU rRNA". It matches the Rfam family "Bacterial small subunit ribosomal RNA", at positions 8 to 726 of the family's 1533-position model. The record is from RNAcentral.
AGAGUUUGAUCAUGGCUCAGAUUGAACGCUGGCGGCAUGCUUUACACAUGCAAGUCGAGCGGCAGCGCGGGGGCAACCCUGGCGGCGAGCGGCGAACGGGUGAGUAAUGCAUCGGAACGUGUCCCGUAGUGGGGGAUAACUCAGCGAAAGCUGGGCUAAUACCGCAUAUGCUCUACGGAGGAAAGGGGGGGACCGCUCGGGCAACUGAGGGGCCUCCCGCUAUGGGAGCGGCCGAUGUCCGAUUAGCUUGUUGGUGAGGUAAAGGCUCACCAAGGCGACGAUCGGUAGCUGGUCUGAGAGGAUGAUCAGCCACACUGGGACUGAGACACGGCCCAGACUCCUACGGGAGGCAGCAGUGGGGAAUUUUGGACAAUGGGGGCAACCCUGAUCCAGCCAUGCCGCGUGCGGGAAGAAGGCCUUCGGGUUGUAAACCGCUUUUGUCCGGAAAGAAAAGGCAUCCCCUAAUACGGGGUGUCCUUGACGGUACCGGAAGAAUAAGCACCGGCUAACUACGUGCCAGCAGCCGCGGUAAUACGUAGGGUGCGAGCGUUAAUCGGAAUUACUGGGCGUAAAGCGUGCGCAGGCGGUUCGCUAAGUCUGAUGUGAAAGCCCCGGGCUCAACCUGGGAACUGCAUUGGAAACUGGCGAGCUUGAGUGUGGCAGAAGGGGGUGGAAUUCCACGUGUAGCAGUGAAAUGCGUAGAGAUGUGGAGGAACACCGAUGGCGAAGGCAGCC